GAAACAGGCUGAAGGUGCUGCUAUUUGGAAAACAACAGCUGUAGAGCUGUUGAUUGUUGGCAAGGAACACAACUGCCAUCCCCGUAUUCAGCAGGAGUGCGAUCCUUGAAACAGAGUGCUUCAAAGCAGGGACAGGGAAUACCGCUGACUGCACGACACCGUGCUAAGGCUCUGGAGAAAGAAACGUGUCCACUCCCCAGCUCUGUCUGCCAAGAGUGACAAUCAGCAAAACAUGAACUUUCCGGUGAAAUGCUGAGAACAACAACCCAAAACGGUGAAAAUUUCAGAACUGCCAUGCCCUCACAAAACAAAGAGACACCCUGAGACCUCUUGUCCAUAUUUCCAUGUCAAAGUGACAAGCGUGUGCCUGACCCUGUGAUACCGCAAAGUGCCUCUGAAACGGAACCCUCCAACCUGGCACUCGGGACAGUCAGAGGUCUUCAGAAGGAUUUAUCUGCGUGUUCUGGAGGGCAGCGGUGCAG
Molecule: long non-coding RNA, 482 nt
Filed under: Gallus gallus (chicken)
Lineage: Eukaryota; Metazoa; Chordata; Aves; Galliformes; Phasianidae
Description: lncRNA (ENSGALG00010026472.1)
Source: RNAcentral